UUAUUUCAGUUUCUUCAACAGCCAUUAAGGCUUGCUAUUGUAAAGUUUACUCUCAUGUGAAAAACUCUUACAGAAUACAAAGAACAUCAUGCCCACGCCAAAGGGCUGUAUCAAAAGAUAGUUUCUUAACAAUCACGUAUCACUGGUGGUGAUGGUUGUAGUGGAGAAGUCAACUUUACUUACACAAACAGGUCACUUAUCUAUGGUUGAUUAUAUUACAUACAGUGCUCUAGGAUUGUUCACACUCAUUUUCUCUGACAGUCUCUACCCACAAAAGUGGCACCAAACUUGAAACUGAAGAGAAAGCAAACAAGUGUGUACCAAGAAACAGAAGGCUUGAUGAAGUGUUGGGAUACUGCUGUCAUACUUCUUCAACAAAUUCCCAAUGAAAAUAAGGAAAGCAGGUAGGCAGAGAACUUUAUGGUCACACUUUAGCCUUCUUUUUUUAAAUUAACUUCUUUAAUCUGGUCAAUUUGUAAUUGAAAGGUAGAUUCCCUUUAGAGGACUGGCAGGUAUCCUUACAGUCUUUAAUUGACACAUUUAGCCAUGACUUGAACGUUUAUCAUCCUUACUUGUACAUAGUUUAGUUCGAAUUUCUGUAGUAAUGCCAACUGGGGAAAGAUUUUUAUUUAUAUUGUGCUGGUUCAACACAUACUAUGAAAGUUGACCACAAAUAAGUUUAAAUAUAUCACCAAGACAUUGUAAGCACUGUACAUAUCCACAGCCACUUUAUAACUUUUUAACCCCAAGUUUUCUGACAUUUUUAUGCAGUUUUAAGUUAUACUCCAACUCUUACGAUAA
Long non-coding RNA from Gavialis gangeticus (Gharial), 801 nucleotides. RefSeq lists it as uncharacterized. The record is from RefSeq and is a predicted model, not a curated record. The transcript has 3 exons. NCBI's taxonomy places the organism in Eukaryota, Metazoa, Chordata, Crocodylia, Gavialidae.